CGUGGGUAACCUGCCCAAGAGAUCGGGAUAACACCUGGAAACAGAUGCUAAUACCGGAUAACAACAGAUGAUGCCUAUCAACUGUUUAAAAGAUGGUUCCGCUAUCACUCUUGGAUGGACCUGCGGUGCAUUAGCUAGUUGGUAGGGUAACGGCCUACCAAGGCGAUGAUGCAUAGCCGAGUUGAGAGACUGAUCGGCCACAUUGGGACUGAGACACGGCCCAAACUCCUACGGGAGGCAGCAGCU
Molecule: ribosomal RNA, 246 nt
Filed under: uncultured Lactobacillus sp.
Lineage: Bacteria; Bacillati; Bacillota; Bacilli; Lactobacillales; Lactobacillaceae
Description: partial 16S ribosomal RNA
Rfam family: Bacterial small subunit ribosomal RNA
Source: RNAcentral